Molecule: long non-coding RNA, 350 nt
Filed under: Nicotiana benthamiana
Lineage: Eukaryota; Viridiplantae; Streptophyta; Magnoliopsida; Solanales; Solanaceae
Description: long non-coding RNA (NBEN_LNC012649)
Source: RNAcentral
GCGUUAACAUCAGGAGCAGAAAGAGUGAUUAACAGGCUUUCUAGGUUUCUAACUUGGUCCAAUCCCUCUCGGAAUCUUAGCAAAGUUUACUCCAGAUGAGCAGCAAUCUACUUGGUAAUUGCAGCAUUCUGAGUAGUUUCCUCAAGUUCCUUUCUAGCGCUUGUAUCUCCCAUUUUGCCUUUGUUCCUGUUUCUGGUAGGACUUUGAGGAGGAGGAGGUGGAGGACCUUUGGAUCUUGUGGAGUAUGCUGAUGGUGCCAGAAUGAACGAACUAACCUUUGGGGAGGGGAAUAAAAAAAGGACAAAACAAAAAGGUAAAAAGUUAGUGUGGAUUCUAAUAAAAUAAUAUUG